RNAcentral lists this ribosomal RNA (262 nucleotides) under uncultured archaeon. Its description in RNAcentral is "partial 16S ribosomal RNA". It matches the Rfam family "Archaeal small subunit ribosomal RNA", at positions 748 to 1009 of the family's 1478-position model. The record is from RNAcentral.
UAGCCGUAAACGAUACUCGCUAGGUGUCGGCCACGGUGCGACCGUUGUCGGUGCCGUAGGGAAGCCGUGAAGCGAGCCACCUGGGAAGUACGGCCGCAAGGCUGAAACUUAAAGGAAUUGGCGGGGGGAGCACCACAACGGGUGGAGCUUGCGGUUUAAUUGGAUUCAACGCCGGAAAUCUUACCGGGACCGACAGCAACAUGAAGGCCAGGCUGAAGACUUUGCCGGAUUAGCUGAGAGGUGGUGCAUGGCGUAGUCGUGU